UUUAUUCUUAUUUUUCUUCUUCUUUUUUAUAUCAUAUUAUUACGUUGCUUUUGAAGGAUAUUAGGUUAAGAAAAUGAAAGGUUGUUCCCUUGCUCAUAUUGUUCACUUCCUAUGGGGAUGCAUAGGGCUCAUUUGCCCCUCACCAUUGCUCAACUCUCCUCCUUCUCUUUUUAUAUUCUCUCUCUAAAGAGUAGACUUCUCCGGUCGUCCGAUUUUGAAACUUGUUCUUCGUACUCUUUUGCUCAAGUUUGAUUUCAGUUUUCGGCCUCCGACUUUGGGUUUCAACUUCUGGUUUUCAGCUUUCCGGCUUUGAGCCUUUUCUGGUUUUCAGCCUCCGGCUUCAAGCCUUUCUUUGGGUUUCAACCAGUUGGGUUUGGUAAGUUGGCCAAUUGGGUUUUCGGACUCUGAGAUUUUGGCUUGGGGUGUUUUGCCGAGAUUUCGGCUUGGGGUGUUUUGCCGAGGAGGUUUUCGGUCAGCUGGGUUUUUGGCCAAAGGUGUUCUUCAAAGAAGGUUUUCGGUUAUUACAAUGGAUUUCUCCUUGUUAGAUUUGGCAGAGGACGAAGAAUUUAUUAGAGCCUAUCAGUCAGAACUAGUAGCAGCAGAGGUUUCUCCUACUACAACCUCAUCUGACUUGCCUUAUACUUCUCGCCUCUCAGCUACCCGGUUGACCUCUACAGUCUGCUAAGAAGAUAUUGCAGAUAUAUCAUUAAUCUUCCGUAUUCCAAAAGUGUUUAAAGAGUACCCUUGUUAAGAAGAACAAAUGGUCAAUGAUAUAGUGACAAAAUGUAGAUGUAUUAUAGUCUACGUAGAGCAGCUGAAGACGGGCUACACUUUCUCUUAGAUCUUUUUGUUGUGCAGGUGUUGUCCCCCUUUCAUCCCAGUGUAGCUCAAAUCCAUCCCAAUGAUUGGAGGAUUUUACUUUCGUUCAUGUCUCUUUGUCGGUUUCAUUGCAUAACGCCCUAUGCUCGUGCGUUUGCUUCGAUGUAUGCCUUGUCUCAUAGGAGAGCUGAAGUUUUUUACUAUUUCAUUCCUAAAAAAGGAAGCGGUCUCUUUGAUGAUUUUCCUCAGUCUCUUAAAAGCUGGAAAUCAAAAUUUUUAUUUUGAGGCAUCCUUCACAGGAGGGUUAGGGUAGCUUUCUUGAUAGUUGGAAUUUUCAUUCGUAGAGGUUCAAAGGGACUCUUCAAAUGACAGAGGAUAAAUUUAUUGUUUAUUUACAUCUCUUGGCCAUUGCCUCAUUCCAAAGGAAACAACCCUAUCAGCCUUUUAUUCAUUCUGAAAAUAGAGCUCAUCUGAUUAGUGUUAUUGGUCUAUCUCCGGAGGAGACUAAUGAUGGUAUUUAUUCUUCGUUCUUUAUCUUUUUAUUCUCUUUUCUAACUUAAUGAUUUUCAUUUUCCUUUGCAAAGAUGGUUGGGGAUAACGCUUCGUGGAUGAGGAAACUUGUAGAAAAAAGGAGAAAAGAGGCGAGUCAAUAGGACCCUUUUAAGAGAUCCAUGACCGUCAGAGAGUCUUCCAAUCCAAAUCCUACUCCUCAGGUUCAAAUCAAUCCUGAAACUCCUUCUCAAUCGGCUGGCACUAGGGUUCCUCCUAUGCCUUCUUCUCCUACUUUUGACAGAUUAUUGAGGGGUCACUCUAUGGUUGUCAACAAUUACCUUCUGGCCGAACAUAUAGGAAGGAAGAUUAUGCUUCCUAGAGACUGAGAAUGACUUGACACAGAGGAUGCUCUGGCUACAAGCUUGGAGGCUAUGACUUGUUCAAACAGAAAAAGAGAGAUUACGUAGGCUUAGAGGAGAGCCUAUGGGGAGCUUCAAGCAUAGAACAUCCUCCUCAGCACCGAAAUGGGUAAUCUGCAAACCUCUCACAAGAACAUUAAGGCAAAGCUGGUGAAGUUUUAAUCCAGCUUAAGGAGAUGACCCUUUCAAGGGAUGCCGAGAGAACAUGCUAUAAGGAGCCUGAAAGGAAAGUGGAUGCUGCUAAUGACAGGAUCGCGGAUAUUUAUAUGAGUUUGCAAGGUUCAAUCAUGACUAAGUUACAUCAUCAGGAUCUUGUUGGGACUAUAGUUAGGUUCUAGACAUGACUCAGGAGGCGACUAUGACCGCAAAUGAGGAGUCUCAUCACAAGAGUAGCGGGAAUGAGAAGUAGGUCACUAGGUUUCAAAAUUUGUAUUUUAGCUCUUUAGACUCUAUCCAAUUGUUCUUCUAUAAUUUCAUUGUUCAUUUGCCUAGUCUAGUAUCCACUUUAUGUUUACAUUAUAUCGAACUUUUUGCAUAAUAAAAAAAGGCCGCCAAUUUCCUA
This is a long non-coding RNA of Manihot esculenta (cassava), 2292 nucleotides long. RefSeq lists it as uncharacterized. The transcript has 2 exons. NCBI's taxonomy places the organism in Eukaryota, Viridiplantae, Streptophyta, Magnoliopsida, Malpighiales, Euphorbiaceae. The record is from RefSeq and is a predicted model, not a curated record.